CAGCCGCCGCGGUAAUACGGAGGAUGCAAGCGUUAUCCGGAUUUAUUGGGUUUAAAGGGUGCGCAGGCGGCCUUAUAAGUCAGUGGUGAAAUCUUACGGCUCAACCGUAAAACUGCCAUUGAUACUGUAGGGCUAGAGUACAGACGAGGUAGGCGGAAUGUAGCAUGUAGCGGUGAAAUGCUUAGAUAUGCUACAGAACACCGAUCGCGAAGGCAGCUUACCAGACUGUAACUGACGCUAAUGCACGAAAGCGUGGGGAGCAAACAGGAUUAGAUACCCUGGUAGUCCACGCUGUAAACGAUGAUCACUCGAUGUUGGCGAUAUACAGUCAGCGUCCAAGCGAAAGUAUUAAGUGAUCCACCUGGGGAGUACGAUCGCAAGGUUGAAACUCAAAGGAAUUGACGGGGGCCCGCACAAGCGGAGGAGCAUGUGGUUUAAUUCGAUGAUACGCGAGGAACCUUACCUAGACUUAAAUGUAGAUUGCAUAGAGUAGAAAUACUUUUUUCCUUCGGGACUAUUUACAAGGUGCUGCAUGGUUGUCGUCAGCUCGUGCCGUGAGGUGUCGGGUUAAGUCCCAUAACGAGCGCAACCCCUACCCUUAGUUGCCAGCGGAUAAAGCCGGGGACUCUAGGGGAACUGCCAGCGUAAGCUGAGAGGAAGGUGGGGAUGACGUCAAAUCAGCACGGCCCUUACGUCUAGGGCUACACACGUGCUACAAUGGCCGGUACAGAGGGCAGCCACCUGGUGACAGGGAGCGAAUCUCCAAAGCCGGUCUCAGUUCGGAUCGAAGUCUGCAACUCGACUUCGUGAAGUUGGAUUCGCUAGUAAUCGUAUAUCAGCCAUGAUACGGUGAAUACGUUCCCGGGCCUUGUACACACCGCCCGUCAAACAAUGGAAGCUGGGGGUACCUGAAGACUGUGACCGUAAAAGGAGCGGCCUAGGGUAAAACUAGUAACUGGUGUUAAGUCGUAACAAGGUACCCGUA
RNAcentral lists this ribosomal RNA (985 nucleotides) under uncultured bacterium. RNAcentral's name for it is "bacterial SSU rRNA". It matches the Rfam family "Bacterial small subunit ribosomal RNA", at positions 509 to 1504 of the family's 1533-position model. The record is from RNAcentral.